UUCUUUUUACAUUUUUUUCCCUGUAGGAGAGGGAGGAUCUUGAUUUCAUUGGAGAAAGAGGGUGCAUCCUUCCAUGGAUGGUAUGUUGAAUAGACACGCACCUCCCACGCACACACAAACACAAUUACCCACAGUGUGCAUUACAUAUACACACACCCAUGUGGCUUUCACCUUGAAGGCUCCAGAGGUUGGAAGAAACCAGGAGAGGAUCCAGGAGAAGCCAAACCUGGAGCAAGGAGUAUAGCAGCAAAGAGGGGAAGAAGAAGCCUCAUUGCCCAGGAGACCAGGACCCAUCUCUUACCCAACUCUGCCUCAAAUCCCAUAUUUCUCUCCCUGAACCCUGCUAAUGAUUCUCCAAUAAUUUAACCAGAGUAACCCCACCCUUUUGAGCUGGAAAUAAGGGUUCCCUAAGGCCCUUCUGGACUCUUCUGUUUUCAUUGACAAGGUGGGAAUAAAGCACAUGGCUUCAGCU
Molecule: long non-coding RNA, 472 nt
Filed under: Marmota monax (woodchuck)
Lineage: Eukaryota; Metazoa; Chordata; Mammalia; Rodentia; Sciuridae
Source: RNAcentral